ACAGGAAACAUUGUCAAAUAUGAACUGGUGUUUGGGUUUUUUUGGGCUGUAUUUGUAUAAAUAUGGAUAUAUGGGACUAUAAUUCUAAUAUGCUUAGUGUACAUUAUCAGUAAUAAUUAUAACUGUUAUGUUAAGUUAUUGUGUGCCACAGAGGUAAUGAAUUUCCUUGUCAGUUGUGUCCUUGACUAUGGCUGCCCCUAAACUUUUUGUCAUCCAUAGACAAUUGUUGUCUUGUUUUGGUCCUCUUUAGAAGGUGGUUUUAUAAUCAUCUAUAAAACUCUUAACAGGUGCUCUUGAGUACAAGUUUCUGAUAACUUUGGAGAUUGUGACAUCAGAAUAGAGGAAAAACUUUUAGGACUCAUGGAGAAGUGAAAUGUUCAUGAACAUCAGGCAGAACAGGAAUUAACUGCAUGGACAGAACUAAUACAAAACUGAGGUAAUCUUUUUGACUUUUUGCUUAAAAUGCUGCUGAUCCUUUGUUUCGUUUUUCCAGAGUCAGGAAACUUCUUUUGCACUAUUGACAGCUUUUAACAAUUUAGUAUACUCCUAUGAACAAAAUUUAAAAUAUAUUUGUUUCUCUCUACCUGAUUUCUCCAGAAUUUGGAAACUAUUUGUGAAUAUUCUUAACUUAUGGCAACACAGUUAUUUGCAUAAGUGCAAUAAGAAUCUGUUUUCAGACACAAUUGGAGAAACUGGUUAUUUUGCCAAGGCUUUGACUGGAAUGGUGUGCUUUCCUUUAAAAAACCAAACUUGACUUAUGGAGCCAAUAAAAGCCCCUUGGAAAUACUGGCCUCAUACCUAGUCUACACAGUUCCUGUACAGGGUUCCUGACCUGUGGUAAGUGAAGCAUGUCACUUUCUGACAGGCCCAGGAACCCCAAGUUUAUAUUGGAACCUCAAGAGGAGAGGAAUUCACCCAACUCAUAGGUAUUUGAUGGUACAAAUCCAUGGCUGAGCUUGGCUUUUAAAAAGUCUUAUCCGAGAUUCCUUCUAUGGAACAAAUUUCCAUCAAAGCCAAUUUAAAAGCCUAUGUAAAAAAAUAAUUAUUCUUGCUGCACUUUAUAGAAAUAAUCAUGCCAAGUAUAACAAAGCAAAUCGGUCCUACCAUGAUUUCUCUUUAGUAGAAAUGGGAAACUGCAGAGAGAAAAAUUACGUUUCAGAAACUAUAGUACACCUGUUGUUAGACUCUAGCCUUGCCUAAUGUUUUUCAAUUGUUAUUAUUUUUUACAGUUUGGACUGAAUUCUAAUUUUUCUUGGCUACAAGUCUUCAAAAUAAUGUUUUCAAGUUUUUUCCUUCUUUUUUUCCCCCAUUUUUCCUAAUUUGGAGUCACUGAAAACUAAGCUGUGCUUUUGUAAACCCUGCAAACUGAAGCCAGACAACUUAAACUUUAGAAGAAAAUAACAGCAACCUGCUUACAUACAUAAGGCACUUUCAUCCCUGCCUACUGAUAUAUAAACUUCAGAGUAAUGUGGCCUAUAUCGAUUUUCCAGGAUUGUUCUUUUGUUUGUUGUUGUUUUUAUCCCUUCCUCCCCCAUUUUCUCUUCAUAGGACAUGAGACUUCACAACCUGCUAAAAAUGAACUUUCCUAAUAACUGGGGACCUACCCGUCUAGGAAUAAACCAUCCUAGCCAUGACAGAUCAGAUGAAACCUGAGACCAGAGACUCAUUUUCUCCUAAAAUGCUUUCUCCAAAAGAUUUUUAAAAAGAAAAGGGGGAAAAUAUGAAUGGAAAAUAAAUCUUGGGGCCCCAACAUCACUAAGCUAAAGGGAAAAGUCAAGCUGGGAACUGCUUAGGGCCAACCUGCCUCCCAUUCUAUUCAAAGUCACCUCUCUGCUCACUGAGAUAAGUGUAUAUCUGACUGCCUCAUUUGGAGAGGCUAAUCAGAAACUCAAAAGAAUGCAACCAUUUGUCUCUUAUCUACCUAUGACCUGGAAACCCCCUCCGCACUUUGAGUUGUCCCACCUGUGAAAGGAAAAUAAAUCUUGGGGCCCCCAAAUCACUAAGCUAAAGGGAAAAGUCAAGCUGAGAACUGCUUAGGGCCAACCAUCCUCUCAUUCUAUUCACAGUCACCCCUCUGCUCACUGAGAUAGAUGCUAUCUGAUUGCCUCCUUUGGAAAGGCUAAGCAGAAACUCAAAAGAAUGCAACUUUCCAUCUCUCACCUAUCUGUGACCUGGAAGCCCAGUCCCUGCUUUGAGUCUUCCUGCCUUUGCUUCAAGCUGUCCCGCCUUUCCAGACCAAACCAAUGUACUUCUUACAUAUAUUGAUGUCUCAUGUCUCAUGUCUCCCUAAAAUGUAUAAAACUAAACUGUGCCCCUACCACCUUGGGCACAUGUCGUCAGGACUUCCUGAGGCUGUGUCAUGGGCACAUCCUCUACCCUGGCAAAAUAAACUUUCUAAAUUAACUGGGACCUACCUCAAAUUAUCUGGGUUCACACGCCUUUGCCUCGAGUUGUCCCACCUUUCCGGACUGAACCAAUGUACAUCUUAACACAUACUGAUUGAUGUCUAAUGUCUCUCUAAAAUGUAUAAAACCAAGCUGUGCUCUGACCACCUUAGGCACUUGUCAUCAGGAUCUCCUGAGGCCAUAUUAUGGGUGCACGUCCUCAACCUUGGCAAAAUAAGCUUUCUAAAUUAACUGAGACGUGUCUCAGAUUUUCGGGAUUCACAAUCUCCACUCUUCACCAAACCUACAAUAAAAAACCCUCAGCUUCUCAGCUUUAACUGUUUCUUCGGGUCUUCAUUUUCUUAUGAAGGUUCAUGUGUCACAUAAAACUUUAAAAAAUUUGUACACUUUUCUCUCAUUAAUCUGUCUUCUGUUAUAGGGCCUCAGCCAUGAACUUGGAAUGGGUAGAUUAAAAAAAAUAUUUUUCCUCCCCUACACAUUUUUUUUUUUUUUUUUGAGACGGAGUCUCAGUCUGUUGACCAGGCUCAAGUGCAAUGGCGUGGUCUUGGCUCACUGCAACCUCUGCCUCCCAGUUUAAGCAAUUAUCCUGCCUCAGCCUCCUGACUAGCUG
This 3015-nucleotide long non-coding RNA is filed under the name Homo sapiens (human). RNAcentral's name for it is "non-protein coding lnc-S100G-1:2". The record is from RNAcentral. Lineage: Eukaryota; Metazoa; Chordata; Mammalia; Primates; Hominidae.